Molecule: non-coding RNA, 82 nt
Organism: Chytriomyces cf. hyalinus JEL632
Lineage: Eukaryota; Fungi; Chytridiomycota; Chytridiomycetes; Chytridiales; Chytriomycetaceae
Source: the annotation of a GenBank genome assembly
GGGCAAAUGGCCGAGUGGUCUAAGGCGCCAGGUUUAGGCCCUGGUAUCUCCGGAUGCGUGGGUUCAAACCCCACUUUGCUCA